Molecule: non-coding RNA, 1183 nt
Organism: Oryctolagus cuniculus (rabbit)
Lineage: Eukaryota; Metazoa; Chordata; Mammalia; Lagomorpha; Leporidae
Source: RefSeq, a predicted model, not a curated record
GCCAUGAAACUCCAAAUCUCAUUAAGCUGGGUGGUAAAAAUACCAUCUUAAGUGUUAAAGUGAUCAUAUAAUAGGAUUAAUUGUCUGGCAAUAAUGAUAGUUAGAGUUAAAGAGGAGUGAACCAUCCAACAUGGGAAGCAGUCCACACAGCUGACUCAUAGAAUGACAUCACUUUAAAUAACAUUCUGACCUCAUAAUCAACUCUUAAGGCAUUCUGGUCUGGCUGAAAAGCCUUGAGAGCAUUUCAGGCAUGGAAAGUCAAGACACUGUGGCAAAAAAUGUCCUACAUGAAGGACCUCAGUGGGUAAGACCCUAGUGGAAAGAAGUGAUCAUCAAAGAAGGAGGUUGGAAAUUUUAAAAUUAGACUCGAGAGAAAAACUAAUGACUGUGCACUGUGGAAUCACAGGGCCUGCUACGUUUUAACGUUGUUGGCUUUUGCUUCCGCGCUCACGAAGUCACCAGGCCCCUUUAGGAAAAGACCCUCCAGAGCCUCCAAUGCAGCCACACCUGCACUGGUAAAGAACUUAAGUACAACCAGCACCAGUGCAUGCUACUCGGCUUGAACAGCGCUUCCUGUUUGGCCAGAUUUCCUGCAGUUUUCAUUGUUAAGAAGAAAGUUAUUUCAGACACUACUCAACCCCCUUGCCUCUCCUUUACCUUCUCAGAGCCUUCAAUCCAUAUUAAAACACUUAACAUUUGCGGUGAUUUCCAAAAUUCUUAAGUGAAGCCUCAUGAAUGAACCCAUGGCAAUAUUUCUAAAAAUACCAAACACCCAGACAAGGAAGCAAAAGAUGUGUGGAACUGUGUAAGCACAGAAAGGAUGAACCGAGCGCUCCAUCUGCACCCAGAUGCUGCGGCACCCUGCAGACAGAACCUUUAUGAAACUGAUCGCCCACCACCUGCCGCAGGAAGUCAUUGACACAAGACGUAAAAGUCGCUUCACAGCACAAGACUGAUGAUGAAGUCCCAAAGCCAACCAGUUUGCAUUUCUGCCUGGAAGACCCAUAGAGACUUAGAUUUUCUUCCUCCAGGGUGAGGCUCUAACUUCCAACACCAAAUGUCCAUGUGCACAGGCUAAGUCCCAGUGACCCCAGACUGUCUUCUGUUAUUCUCCUCAUUCAUUUACCCACCAGGCUUCAAGAAUUCUGCCCCAGAAUGCUUCUGGAAUCUGUGGCAUUCUCAC